GAUGAACGCUAGCUACAGGCUUAACACAUGCAAGUCGAGGGGCAGCAUGGUCUUAGCUUGCUAAGGCUGAUGGCGACCGGCGCACGGGUGAGUAACACGUAUCCAACCUGCCGUCUACUCUUGGCCAGCCUUCUGAAAGGAAGAUUAAUCCAGGAUGGGAUCAUGAGUUCACAUGUCCGCAUGAUUAAAGGUAUUUUCCGGUAGACGAUGGGGAUGCGUUCCAUUAGAUAGUAGGCGGGGUAACGGCCCACCUAGUCAACGAUGGAUAGGGGUUCUGAGAGGAAGGUCCCCCACAUUGGAACUGAGACACGGUCCAAACUCCUACGGGAGGCAGCAGUGAGGAAUAUUGGUCAAUGGGCGAUAGCCUGAACCAGCCAAGUAGCGUGAAGGAUGACUGCCCUAUGGGUUGUAAACUUCUUUUAUAAAGGAAUAAAGUCGGGUAUGCAUACCCGUUUGCAUGUACUUUAUGAAUAAGGAU
Molecule: ribosomal RNA, 478 nt
Filed under: uncultured bacterium
Lineage: Bacteria
Description: bacterial SSU rRNA
Rfam family: Bacterial small subunit ribosomal RNA
Source: RNAcentral